AGAGGCGGCGCCACAAAGCCAAGGAACAUCCUUCUUCCUCGUCGGCUCGUCUGCUCCUCUGCUCCCAGACAUCUCUCAACCAACCUGGACCUGGUGAUACACAGAUGAAUACACCAGGGGAUGGUAGCACACGCCUGUAUCCCAGCGCUCUGGAGGUGGAGGCAGGAGGACUACCCUCAAGCUUGAGGCCAUCCUGGACUACAUAGUGAAGAUCAUGUCAUAGAAAAGUCGUCAGCAUUCCAAAUUAUUCCUGACAGGCUCAAACUUUCAUUUUAAGCAUCCAUGUUCUGGACAGUUAUCUGGUAGCGAAUCCUCCAUCAGCAUUUCUCAUGCUCAGUAACUGGAACGAGAGGGCACCCAGACAACUGAGCGGACAAGGACAGCAUGGCUCGGCUGAAGCACCACUGACAGCCAACAGGACAGGAAUGAGGGAUAAGAAGCCAGUUUCUAUAUGUGGUAGGUGCCCAAUGCAGCUGCACAACAUCUGGAGACAUACUCUAAUAUCAGGUCAAUAUUCCAUGGGAAAAUAUAUACAAGAAGCAGAUAUGCCCAAAGGACUUUGCACAAAGAACAACAGACAUUUCCAAUUCUUUGGAUACCCAGCAAAGACCACCAAACCUCCCAAAUGAGACCUGCAGAAAACUCAUCACAAAUAUGGGCAGUUCCUUGAGCCUCAGAAACUAAGAAGAGAAGCCUUGGGGACUACACGGCCUGCUCAUAACUUCUGGAACGGGCUAGGCACUGUAUCUUAUAGUGCAGAGCCUUCGUACCCAACCAAAGUUCUAAGGAACUAUUAUCCCAGGGUUUAUUCACUCUUGGACUCUGACAUCGUACGACUCAGUCUGAGUCUGCUAAGACAUAACCACAGAAGCAAAGAUGAAGGAAGAUGCUCACCACAUCCACGGCAUCACACAGCCGCUCUCGGGGGAUAUGCUCAGUGAUGGAGGGACACUGAUUCUGCAGGAGCAGCACGGCCUUCAAACCCUCGGCUGUGCAGUCAGCAACGAUCCAGCCACAGUCCAGUGUGCUGAAGCAGAAACCGCCCUACAGAGAUAGAGUGCAACAGUGCCCUCCCUACAGAGCCGCAAGAGUCAGGGCAAGGCCUAGCCACCACCGCACAGGGGUACCUAAAUUGGGCGUAGUUGAGCAGACUUCAGCUUCAGCACAGGGACUAUCUAGGACUUCAUGCCCAGCCUGAAUGCCCUCAGAUCUCAGCAAUAAAUUGGGUCUGGAACC
RNAcentral lists this long non-coding RNA (1236 nucleotides) under Mus caroli (Ryukyu mouse). RNAcentral's name for it is "predicted gene 15343 (MGP_CAROLIEiJ_G0002521.1)". The record is from RNAcentral. Lineage: Eukaryota; Metazoa; Chordata; Mammalia; Rodentia; Muridae.